CUUUACUUUUACCAGAUCAACCAUUCUUGAGGAUAACGGAAGAGCCACAGCACUACUUUCGGUUCCGCUAUCGGAGUGAAAUGGUCGGCACCCAUGGUUGCUUGCUUGGAGAAUCUAGCAGUACCAGCAAAUCCAAAACUCAUCCUACAGUAGAGCUAGCGAAUUACAAGGGGCGUGCGAUCAUACGGUGUCGUUUGGCCCAAAAGAAAUCCCCUGAAGAGCACCCCCAUAAGCUACUCGAAGAAGAACAAGAUAGAGAUGUUAGUUACGAAGUGCCUGAAAAUGGAAGUUAUAAAGUGGGUUUUGCUGGCAUGGGAAUAAUACACACAGCAAAAAAAGAUGUUCCUGGGUUGCUUUUUAAAAAAUAUUCAGAAACAUUGACAAACAGGAAUGUAGAUUUGAAAGAGCUCCGCAUGCAUUGCGAGAACGAGGCGAAGAGUAUAGAUCUCAACAUCGUGCGACUGAGGUUCAGCGCUCACGACCUCUUAACUAACAAAGAGAUCUGCCCACCGGUGUUUUCAAAACCUAUACACAACUUGAAAAGUGCUGCCACCAAUGAUUUGAAGAUCACCCGCGCGAGCCGCUCAUGCGGACGCGCCAGCGGCAAUGAAGAUGUAUUCUUGCUCGUGGAAAAAGUCAAUAAAAAAAACGUUUUGGUCAGACUGUUUGAACUGAACGACAGUGGAGAGGUAGUUUGGACAGCAAAUGGACGUUUCUUGCAGAGCGAUGUACACCAUCAAUACGCUAUUGUAUUUAGUACCCCCCCAUACAAGGAUAAAAACAUAACGAGCGCCAAGAAGGUGUACAUAGAACUAGUGCGGCCUUCCGAUGGGCGCACGAGCGAGCCGAAGGAGUUCGAAUACAAACCGGAGAAGUAUGGCGGACGGUCUAACACACCCGGAAAGAAAAGGAAGGCGAAUUCUCCAUAUUCAUCCUACAGCUCAUCGAAUUCCCUCAAAAGCAACGGCGAAGUGCCAGCUACCGUUCUAUUGUACAUGAAUCAACACGCCAAUGAAAAUGCUAAUGAUAAUCUGGUUCAUGACGUGCAGAUGUGUACUAUACCUCAGCUGCCUCAAAUACCGCACGCGUCGCCUAGUAGCUCAAGCGACCUCGGCGAAGCGAUACUAUACGGAAUGCGCGCGGAAGGCAGUCCCUCCACCCAGUUCUAUGAUAGCCCCAUGAUGCCUCAAGGUGUGGCUGACCCACCAGACCUACAGCUGAACUCUACGGAACUGGAUCGCCUCUUAAAAGACAACCCCAGCAUCCCGGCUGAAGAAAAGGAACGCUUCUGCAAAGCUGACUGGUCUGAAUAUCUAAAGUUCACCGACAGUGUGACGGACAUCGGAGAAACACACGGCUCAUCCUACAGUAUAGAUAUCGUGCGUUCUUUGUUGUCUAGUGACUCCGGGAAAGGAAACAGCUCAAAUGAAACGGGAUCAAAGCAACGAAUUGGUGAAAAGGAAGAAAAGAUAUCAAAUCCCGUGGACAAACCCAAAGGCAUUGGUGAAUAUACUGCUUUCUACAAAGCAGAGGAUGGGGCUGAAGUGAAAAAGCUGGUUAAGGAGUUGUGCGAGAUGAUAAGGGACAAAUCAAAUGUCAAGAGGCCAAUAGUCAAAGAGAAACUUGAAAGGCUCUUCAAAAUGAGGCUGUCCAAUGGAGACACGUUUCUCCAUAUGACAUUGUGCAGCAAGCAGCCAAGCCUGGAUUACAUUGUCAAGCUCAUCCAUAGUAUGAAGAUGCCCCAUUUGCUCAAUUUGACGAACAAUCAGUCGCAAACUAUUCUACAUUUAGCCGUGGUGUAUGAUAUGCCGAAAACCGUGUCUUUCCUUGUAUCUAAAGGGUGCAACCCAAUGAUCGAGGACAGCGAAGGCAACAACGUGAUACAUUACGCCGUGAUUUACCAGAACUCUUUGGAACCACUACUCACUGCGCUCAAGAGCAAUAACGUACCGUACGAUCUCGACGCUUGCAACAACGAGAAACAAACGCCCCUGCACUUGGCGGUCAUAUACAAGAGCGACGAGAGCGCUCGCAUACUUCUGGCAGGCGGAGCCGGCUGUGGGACACGCGACGCUGCGGGACGCACGGCCCUACACUUGGCCGCGUUAGACGAUUGCCUGCCCGUCGCCGCGCUGCUGCUGGGACACAUGCACCCGGGUGAAGUGGACGCCAUCAACGGGAGCGGCUACACAGCGUUACAAGCUGCUUGCGACGGCGAGAUGAGAGAGAACACUCUCGCCAUGGUCGAGCUGCUGCUUGAGAAGGGAGCAAACCCGCUGAAGCGCGAAGAAUACGGCGCCUCAGCGUGGCAGCUUGCCAUAGACAAGCCGGCUGUGCGUGACGCGAUGCGCGCGCGCGUGCCCGAGCCCCCGCUAGACGACGACGUCAAGUCCGAGCCCGACGACGAGCCCGAAGACGAGUUCGAGUCCGCGGACGAAGGCGAGGCAUGCGGCCUGUCAGACCUGCCUCUAUACGUGGAGGAGCUAUCGCGCGCGCUGGACGCCAGCGGCGGCUGGAGGGCGCUGGCGUCACACCUGGAACUAGAGGCGCUGCACUCCUGGUACUCCAACACGCGCAGCCCGGCGCGCACGCUGCUCUACCACGUCAAGGUACCGACGCUACAGCGGCUGCAGGCGCUGGCUCGCACCUGGAACUAGAGGCGCUGCACUCCUGGUACUCCAACACGCGCAGCCCGGCGCGCACGCUGCUCUACCACGUCAAGGAGUGCGGAGAAAAUAAUGUAACGUCGAGGACUCUAGCUCUGGUUCUUGAGAAGAUAGGCCAGAAUGAAGCAGCAAAAAUUAUUAGAAAAUACUGUGACUAGUGCGUGGCCAAAGACCUCUGUAUUGUAUAAGUUUUAGAUUUUUAUGACUCAAAUUGGUUGCCAGAAUGUGAACUGUACGUAAUACAAGUCAGAACGACUAUUCGCCUCUUGAUUUAUUUGAUUUAUUUUUUUUAAACACUAGUAUAAUGUUGCUUAUUUCAUUAUGUUAGUUUUAUUGCAAGUUUCAGUUUACCACUUUGCUACUAUAUAAGGUAAACAUAUAGUUUCGUUAUUAUGUUAGUUCGUGCUAAUUGUAGAACUUUUCCUUUUUCUUUCAAUCUAUAACGCAAGGAAUGGCUUACCUAUGUACAAUGCCAAUUUAUAGAAUAAGUUUAAUGUAAAAGGUUCCCGUAGAUAUUUAAUAAAAUAACUGCCACAUUUAUACAAUGUUAAAAACGACGCUGCUGGCUUUUGCCAAAGGCUAAACUGAAAAGCCUUAAAUGGUUUACUUACUGACAAACAAAACUAUUCGAACGGACAGAUUUCAUACUGAUACGAUACUACUUAAUUAUUGAUUAGUCUCGAGCAACAUUUAUAACGUAAUUUGAAUACGAUAUCUUGGCUCUGGAAAUUCUGUGAUAACAAUUCAAUUUAUCAAAGCAAUACUUUGACAAGGCCACAUUUGAUCGAUUAUACUCGCUAUAUUUUGCAAAUAAUUGUUUUACCGAACUGCAUUUAUAAGAGUGUAUGAGCUCUAAAACCAUUUACAAAAUACUACACAACUAAGGCUGCUGUUAAAAAAAUAUAGUAAAAAAAGUUCAGUGUGAUAUGUGUUGUUGUUGUGUUGUUCUUGCAAGUUCGUGGUUAAUUUCAUUCUGUAGUUGUAGUUAGUAGGCCCCUACUUAAGUUUCUACAUUUCGCACUUUAUAGAUAGG
Ostrinia furnacalis (Asian corn borer) is the source of this 3699-nucleotide RNA transcript. It is a transcript of the gene named nuclear factor NF-kappa-B p105 subunit, with no coding region annotated. The transcript has 21 exons. Lineage: Eukaryota; Metazoa; Arthropoda; Insecta; Lepidoptera; Crambidae. The record is from RefSeq and is a predicted model, not a curated record.